UACGUAGGGGGCAAGCGUUGUCCGGAAUUAUUGGGCGUAAAGAGCGUGUAGGCGGCCAGAUAAGUCCGCUGUGAAAUCUCGAGGCUCAACUUCGAGCUGUCGGUGGAAACUAUCUGGCUAGAGUCCGGAAGAGGAGAAUGGAAUUCCUGGUGUAGCGGUGAAAUGCGCAGAUAUCAGGAAGAACACCAAUUGCGAAGGCAGCUCGCUGGGACGUCACUGACGCUGAGACGCGAAAGCGUGGGGAGCAAACAGG
Molecule: ribosomal RNA, 253 nt
Filed under: uncultured bacterium
Lineage: Bacteria
Description: partial 16S ribosomal RNA
Rfam family: Bacterial small subunit ribosomal RNA
Source: RNAcentral